CCAUUAGAUGUUCUGGGCCGCACGCGUGCUACACUGAGUAAAUCAAUGGGUAAGGGAACACGAAAGUGCAACCUAAUCUUGAAAUUUGCUCGUGAUGGGGAUCGACGGUUGCAAUUUUCCGUCGUGAACGAGGAAUACCUUGUAGGCGCGUGUCAUCAUCACGCGCCGAAUACGUCCCUGCCCUUUGUACACACCGCCCGUCGCUCCUACCGAUUGAGUGAUCCGGUGAGGCUCUGGGACCUGGACGGAAAGAGCGUUUCGCUUGUUCUGUUUGGGAAACUUGGUCGAACCUUAUCAUUUAGAGGAAGGAGAAGUCGUAACA
This 322-nucleotide ribosomal RNA is filed under the name uncultured eukaryote. RNAcentral describes it as "partial 18S ribosomal RNA". It matches the Rfam family "Eukaryotic small subunit ribosomal RNA", at positions 1470 to 1796 of the family's 1831-position model. The record is from RNAcentral.